RNAcentral lists this ribosomal RNA (249 nucleotides) under uncultured Paracoccus sp. RNAcentral's name for it is "partial 16S ribosomal RNA". It matches the Rfam family "Bacterial small subunit ribosomal RNA", at positions 1114 to 1382 of the family's 1533-position model. The record is from RNAcentral. Lineage: Bacteria; Pseudomonadati; Pseudomonadota; Alphaproteobacteria; Rhodobacterales; Paracoccaceae.
GUUGCCAGUCAGUUCAGUUGGGCGACUCUAUGGAAACUGCCGGUGAUAAGCCGGAGGAAGGUGUGGAUGACGUCAAGUCCUCAUGGCCCUUACGGGUUGGGCUACACACGUGCUACAAUGGUGGUGACAGUGGGUUAAUCCCCCAAAAGCCAUCUCAGUUCGGAUUGUCCUCUGCAACUCGAGGGCAUGAAGUUGGAAUCGCUAGUAAUCGCGGAACAGCAUGCCGCGGUGAAUACGUUCCCGGGCCUU